AUGGAACAACUUAAGUGUGUGUCCAGGAGUUUAGACAAGUGGAGCAGGGAAGUGUUGGGUGACCUGCAGAAGAGGAUAAAAAAGCUAAGGGCUGAACUCGAGGAGAGCCGUACAGCAGACCUAUCAGAAGCGGCAGUGAGAAAAGAACAAGUAUUGCGUUUCAAGCUCGGUCGUCUUGAGGAACAACUUGAUGUGUUUUGGAAACAGAGGGCUCAUGUGGGCUGGCUGUCGAAAGGAGAUCGAAAUACGGAGUACUUUCAUGGUUUUGCCUCGACACGGAAGAGAGCCAACCGAAUCACAAAGCUAAGAGGAGAUGAUGGGGUGGAGGUAGAAGAGGAGGAGGGUUUGAAGGCCCUCAUUUCUAAUCAUUUCUUUGGCUUGUUUACCCCCAUGGCAGGUACAAACAUUGAAGAAGUUCUUCAACAUGUUCAACUGCGAGUCACACCCAAAAUGAACACUUUUCUCCGGAAUUAA
This 474-nucleotide ribosomal RNA is filed under the name Triticum aestivum (bread wheat). Its description in RNAcentral is "partial small subunit ribosomal RNA". The record is from RNAcentral. Lineage: Eukaryota; Viridiplantae; Streptophyta; Magnoliopsida; Poales; Poaceae.